UUUCCGCUAAUAGCGUCCUCGUUUUGUC
Molecule: small RNA, 28 nt
Filed under: Bombyx mori (domestic silkworm)
Lineage: Eukaryota; Metazoa; Arthropoda; Insecta; Lepidoptera; Bombycidae
Description: piRNA piR-bmo-1829902
Source: RNAcentral